CCCUUGGGCCAUUUUUGUGGCCUUCCUCUGCAUGUGUUCUCUGCAUGUACUCCCCAUCUGGAUGUAUCUAUGUCAUAGGUACAUAAAAUUCAAGAACUUCUUUCCAUUCUGCCAAGAGCACGCUAAAACUUGAAAGCUGUUUCAGUUGAGGUGCUAUCCCUGGGGAGCAAAUUGUUUUCAUGGGUGGUAUACAAGAGCUUUACCAAAAGAGGUUCUGGCUCUGAAUUGUUAGUAUAGUGAAAACAAUUCCUUAUUUUCUGUAAUGGAAAUGAAAGUAGAACUGCUCAGACAGAAGGACACAGAUCGACCUCCCAUAACUGCUUUGGAAAUGUCCCAAAAAUAGUUAAAAGAGCAGCGGGGUAUGCUGUAAAAGAAACAGGAUAGUAAAGUUUUUGAAAAUUUCAAGUAAGAGAGCUCAGAUUGUUGCCAGCUAACCUAGGUCCUGGUGAUCAGAUCACAGCUGCAUAUCAUUUAAAUUUUAUUUCUUUAUAUUUGGACAGAAAUCUUGUUGUUGCCUUUUUACCUGCUUUUAAAACAAACAAAAAAAAAAAAAAACCAAACAAACAAAAACAAACACGGGAUCAGAAAAGACUCUGUGGGCUACGGAGCCCAGCUCCUUCCUGCAACUUAACAGAUAAUAUGACCCCACUUGUAAAUUUAUGAAACUUUCAUCUGAAAAGACUUGUAAAGUGGUUUUUUUAGUCUGUUUUUUCUGUACUCCACACUCUUACAGGGAAGCUACUGCAAUAGUUUGUGUCCCAGACAUAUGGAAAUCAUUGUAAUUUCUGUGAUACAUUUCUAUGACUGUAUAUGCAGGUGAUCUUAUGCUGAAACUGAGUUGUUCUUAAAUUGUCUUUCCUUCUGGUGGUAUUCUUUUUCCCCACUUCUUUAUCUCCAGUGUGUUCGGAGAGUGAUAGUACACAUUUCCUCAGAUUUCAAGUGAAUAAAUAAUGAAAAGAUAAUAAGCUAAAUAAGCUAAAUCCUUUAAAUCACUUUCAUCGGGAUUGUCGUCCAUUUGACGCUAUUCCAGAAAAGGCCAUAUAAAAAUCUUACAUAAUGGUUGAACACUUGCCAGUCUAUAGGGAAACAUGUUUUUUUCAUAGCUAGUUCUGCCUGAGGGGACAUAAUUUUGCUCCAACAGAUAGGAAUACUGAUUUAUCUCUUUUUUUUUUAUUUACCUAAGUCUCUUUUCUAAAUCACAAACCUUUAACAGGCAGUAGAAAAUUCCCACUAGUAAUAUCAAAGGGUACAACCUUGGACUUUGUACUUUUAACCUCUCCUCCUUUCUGUAACUGAAGUUCAAUGACCUUUAUGAUAUUCCAGGCCUUUUCUGCUUUGACGUUGCCUCCAAACUUUGUCAUCAGAAAAUGUCAUAAGCGCACUUAUGCUGUGCCAAAAUUAGCUAUGAUACUAUCCACUAUUUUUAGUCUCCUAACUAAUCCUAGAAAAUUCAGCUGGUAACUUUGCUCCAAACAUACACUUCCCGUUUCAAUGCAACAUGUUGAAUCUUUCUGUUUUUGCCUUGAUAAUAAGGAUAGUCCAGUCUGUCCAACACCAAGACAUUUACGUUUUUCUCUGUGAUUUUGGUCUGAUUCCAGUUCAUUUCUUAGCCCUAUAUUCUCAUUUUCUCCUACGCUCUAGUCUUUUUCUCAUUUUCAGCUGGUUUUUGAAAGCCUGGUGUAUCAAAUGGUUUCAUAAUGUCCAUCAAAAUUGGCUCACUGUGUUUAUUUCAAGCUAGGAAAAAAGAAAGGGUUGCUUUGUAUUUAUCUGAAAAAAAAAAGCACCCAGGUAGACCUCAUGCAGUCUUCUUCCCAUGCAAGACUUAUUUACCCUUAACUUCUUUUCAAAUUUACAUUUAGUUGAUGUAUUAAUAAUUCUUAUGUUGGGUGUUUUAAAACCUUGUGUACUACUAAAGUUUGUUUAAUAGGCUUGUAGUUUACUUGGUUACUUUCUCUUCUCUACCCAUAUUUCAUUUGCUGAUCUUGAGUAAUGUGAUCCAAUACUUGCCUUGUUUGCUUUAUUAACCAGCCCUCUGCUUUUCAGCUCACUAUUUAAGGCAAAGUAACAGAUUUAAAAUAUAUAUUAUUCCAAAACUAUGCUCAGUAAGGAGUACUGUGCUAUUUGAAGCAGAACUAAGCUACUUGAAGAAAGGACUACACAUUGAGUUAAACCAGGCAGUGUAUGAGGAAAGAUUACCUCGCUUGUGAGUAAUCUACACCAAAACAGAACAGGAAAGAUGCAUCUACUGCAGAGUAUUUUACUGUCCAGCGUUCUACAGGUUGUUGUCAGCAUUUGCAAAAAGCACAAGCAACUACAAAGAUCAAGAUUAGCAGAAAAUAAAAACAGGAGACUUUGUACAAAAGGAAAAUUCGGAGAUGAAUUCAGUGAUGAGUCUGCUAGAGGUAUGCUACAGAGAUGGCCGUCUGUUGGAUGAUGUGGCAAUGCUGUCUGUCCUGUUAUCAAGUAUGACAUUCUGCUCAGCUUCUCCUAAUGUUGUGGUAGUACCUGGCACUGGCCGCCAAGUGUAAUCUCUCACCGCUAGCCAAAAUAGAUCAAGGCUGACCACUUCAUUCUAAACAUGGAGUGAGCUUAUCUGUCCAAAGAGCAAACGCAGCAGAGGGCAUACUGGUAACAUAAUUGGACAGAGAACUCUAAUCCUCUGUAUUGUAGGAUGUGAAAAGAAAUCUCAGCUGAACAUUCAGCAGCACACUGGAAAGCAAAUGGCAUUCUCAUCACCAAGGAUUUUGAUUAGCAUUUCUGCUGAUCUUUUUGUGGGUUCUUUAAAAAGCUGAGGUUGAUUGUUCUGAUGGACGCUUUUAUCAGUCCAGGCACUAAAUAAUUUAUUAAAUGCUUUUGCUGAAGAUGGAGAAUUGGUAACACAAGAGAUGCUUCUGGGAACCAUCUUUCUCAAGUAUAUAAAGAACUUCCUAUAUUUGUGUAUUCUGUACUUAGAUGAACGUAUAUUGUCCACAAACAUGAGCUGCAUUACAAGGGAGCUAUGCACGCAUUAAUUUGGUUAAUCUCAGGUAACAAUUUAAAAGUGGGUUUGGCUGUCAUGUUCUGCCAGGAGGUCUGUAUACUGGAAAAACUGCACCUCCAACAGGAGACCACUGAAUAAGCAACCGAUGGUUAAGAGCCAUUGAAGAUUGCUUCCUGGUCCUAGUUUCAGAGUUAAAAAUGCUUGACAGAACAGCAAUAAGCCUUUUCUAUGCAGGCAGCAAUACCUAUAUUACAGUUAUCUUUCUCAAAUAAAAUGCAGAAGAGAAAACUCUAUGACUGAGUUACACUGUUGUAGUUUGCCUUCUCUCCCCCCUCCCUCCACCCCCCCCUAGAAAAAAAGGUGUUGAAUGCAUGCAUGUUUAUGUGGACAUGUCAUGUCAUCAGAACUGGAUGGCUGCCAGAGAAGGAAUACUUAUAUAUAGUCAGACAUUCCUUUUAUGUUAUCGAUACCUGGUAUCUUUCCAAAAUAAUCUUGCCUAAUUUUGGACACUUUAAAGACUGAUUUAGCUGUGUUGCUUCAUUGAAAUCUUGGGAAAGGUUGCCUCCUGAAGCACUCCGUUAAAAACGUCAGACAUAAUAUUUCAAUAUUUUGACUAAAUAAAUCAUUAAAAAUAAUUGGGUUAUUUUUCCUGCAUUUCUUCAGAACAUAACCAAAAUCAAAUCAAUUCAUCCUUUUCCUGCUGUUAUUAGUAUCUAGCUCAAAUUUUCUGAAGACUGAAACUGUAUGGUAACAUAUAUCUCUGUUAUGGCACCAUGUAUCUGUUAGAUAACGCAGUACAGAUUGAGACUUUUAUUGUAUGUUUAAGAUUGAUUUGUAUUACCUUGUGUAACUGGCCAUGUAGAAGCUGGCUCGGUAGUUAUUCUCUGUGGCAUUCUCCCUAUGUAAAAUUAAAAAGUUUUCCCUGUGAGCUGUUAUUCUAUGAUUUCCGUAUGUGAAAUGUGCUCUGAGCUGACAGUCCUUCUUUAGUCCUUUCCUGGCAUCGUGCCAUGAUACUUUGCCUAAAACUUCCCUUGUGUUCAAGCCUCUUUUUCUCAGCUUUCAAAUCAGAAUCCAACACAGUUUCUUUAACUAUUCUCUGUGCUAGAUUCUAGUAAUUACUAGAUU
Molecule: long non-coding RNA, 4105 nt
Organism: Gallus gallus (chicken)
Lineage: Eukaryota; Metazoa; Chordata; Aves; Galliformes; Phasianidae
Exons: 4
Source: RefSeq, a predicted model, not a curated record